RNAcentral lists this non-coding RNA (952 nucleotides) under Pongo abelii (Sumatran orangutan). The record is from RNAcentral. Lineage: Eukaryota; Metazoa; Chordata; Mammalia; Primates; Hominidae.
ACAUAUAUGCUGCAGAACUCUUUCAGGGUGUAUCUGAAACUACUUCUCUUAAAGGCAAGCUGUAACUGGCGCCAAUGAGUACUACUGUCUUUUUUAAAAAUUAAAAACAAAUUUAACAUCACUUAGUCUUUAUAAGAAUGAGAAAAUCCAGAUAAGUAUAAAGAAGAAAAUUUAAAAACCUAAAUGGUCGGGGUGUUUGGGGGAGCAGAAGAGGAAGACAGAAGAUUGUAUCUCUCUGUCUUGGCUUCUGAACCUGAGAUGUUUUUUAUUAUUGCAGGAAAAGACAGAAGCUGAUUGAGGUCCCAGCUUGGUAACAGUUUGAAGAGUUGCAGGACUGGCUGGAUGAGUACUGGCUGCAGCAAGUCAUGCUGCCAGGAUUCUUUAUGGCUGUUUCUGCUUCCACUACAGCUGAGUCAGAAAGGUCGCUGCCCAGUGGUGGCAGUAGAUGCAGUGGACCUGGCAAGCAAAUGUUUCCGCUAUUAGCUCUCAGCAACAGAGACUCAUUUAUGGUCACCUUGGAAAUCUGGGCUUAUCGAUCUACAGCCCAAGUCUGCUGAGAAGCUGGAGCUUACUAAAGGGGAAACCUGAGAGCUGUUCAAGCCCCAAACAUUUUCCACUUCUGCGUCACCUCUGCUGUCUGUUAGCAGAGUGGAGGAGAAAAUACACCAGCACAAACAACGUGAAAAAAUACUCUAUUCAUUAAAAGCUGUAACUUCCAGACUGGACUUGAGAAGCAAUUAAGCAACAGAGGCACCUCAUCUACUAUCUGUAUUCAGGCAUGCUCAUGAGAACAUGCUGCUCCAGCUGGACUUAGAGGAGCCCGGUGCAUCAGAGGCAUUCCUGACAGAGUCUCGUGGUCCUGCUGGUCCACUCACUGGUACCCAGUCCUCCUCAUCGUCGGGGAUAGGUUCCAAGACCCCCAGGGGAUGCCUGAAACUGCGGAUGGUACCGA